UGUCUAUCUAGUGUAGUAAGAAUUUUGCGAUUUGUUUGUUUUUUAUAGCUGUCGAGCUAUAGAUGACGUCAUCAACAAUAAAACGCGAAUUUCUGCUUAUUGUGCACACUUUGAUUAUUUUGUUUGCAUUAUUCUUUACGUUCAUAUGAAAGAAAUUAAUAUGUGUGUAGAUGUCUAGAUGUGUGCAACGAAAGUCGAUUUCUAAAGACAUUUAAACCUUCUGCAUUGCAGCCCAAUACAGAUAACAAUUCAUUAAAGAAAAUCAGCAAAUGAAAAUGAAAUAUUUGCUAAUGAAUUCGGUGCACAAACUCAAAUGGAUGAAAACUUCAAACAAAAGCCAAGAUUAACUUGUGAUAUAUGAAAAGACUUCAUAUACUAGCAGUAACUAAUGGUAUAGAGCAAAUAAAUUUAAUUUUAUAUGAUUAAUGUCAUUUAUGCCAUGUUAAGAAUAUGAGUGGAACCAAGAUUUCUGCAAGCUAUUUUACGCUGAGAAAAUUUGUGAAAUGGGAAAAAGCAUAAAAAUAGAAUAAACAAUAUAGUAAGCGUCUGACUAAGGAUUUCCUCAUAUUCGCACAAAGAGGAUUUCCUUAAGUGUGAAGCGAAUCGUCACAAUUUAAGAAGAUCAAAUCUGAGAA
Long non-coding RNA from Xenia sp. Carnegie-2017, 635 nucleotides. RefSeq lists it as uncharacterized. The transcript has 3 exons. The record is from RefSeq and is a predicted model, not a curated record. NCBI's taxonomy places the organism in Eukaryota, Metazoa, Cnidaria, Anthozoa, Malacalcyonacea, Xeniidae.